ACUAAGCGUACACGGUGGAUGCCCUGGCAGUCAGAGGCGAUGAAGGACGUGCUAAUCUGCGAUAAGCGUCGGUAAGGUGAUAUGAACCGUUAUAACCGGCGAUUUCCGAAUGGGGAAACCCAGUGUGAUUCGUCACACUAUCAUUAACUGAAUCCAUAGGUUAAUGAGGCGAACCGGGGGAACUGAAACAUCUAAGUACCCCGAGGAAAAGAAAUCAACCGAGAUUCCCCCAGUAGCGGCGAGCGAACGGGGAGGAGCCCAGAGCCUGAAUCAGUGUGUGUGUUAGUGGAAGCGUCUGGAAAGGCGCGCGAUACAGGGUGACAGCCCCGUACACAAAAAUGCACAUGCUGUGAGCUCGAUGAGUAGGGCGGGACACGUGGUAUCCUGUCUGAAUAUGGGGGGACCAUCCUCCAAGGCUAAAUACUCCUGACUGACCGAUAGUGAACCAGUACCGUGAGGGAAAGGCGAAAAGAACCCCGGCGAGGGGAGUGAAAAAGAACCUGAAACCGUGUACGUACAAGCAGUGGGAGCCUCUUUAUGGGGUGACUGCGUACCUUUUGUAUAAUGGGUCAGCGACUUAUAUUCUGUAGCAAGGUUAACCGAAUAGGGGAGCCGAAGGGAAACCGAGUCUUAACUGGGCGUUAAGUUGCAGGGUAUAGACCCGAAACCCGGUGAUCUAGCCAUGGGCAGGUUGAAGGUUGGGUAACACUAACUGGAGGACCGAACCGACUAAUGUUGAAAAAUUAGCGGAUGACUUGUGGCUGGGGGUGAAAGGCCAAUCAAACCGGGAGAUAGCUGGUUCUCCCCGAAAGCUAUUUAGGUAGCGCCUCGUGAAUUCAUCUCCGGGGGUAGAGCACUGUUUCGGCAAGGGGGUCAUCCCGACUUACCAACCCGAUGCAAACUGCGAAUACCGGAGAAUGUUAUCACGGGAGACACACGGCGGGUGCUAACGUCCGUCGUGAAGAGGGAAACAACCCAGACCGCCAGCUAAGGUCCCAAAGUCAUGGUUAAGUGGGAAACGAUGUGGGAAGGCCCAGACAGCCAGGAUGUUGGCUUAGAAGCAGCCAUCAUUUAAAGAAAGCGUAAUAGCUCACUGGUCGAGUCGGCCUGCGCGGAAGAUGUAACGGGGCUAAACCAUGCACCGAAGCUGCGGCAGCGACGCUUAUGCGUUGUUGGGUAGGGGAGCGUUCUGUAAGCCUGCGAAGGUGUACUGUGAGGUAUGCUGGAGGUAUCAGAAGUGCGAAUGCUGACAUAAGUAACGAUAAAGCGGGUGAAAAGCCCGCUCGCCGGAAGACCAAGGGUUCCUGUCCAACGUUAAUCGGGGCAGGGUGAGUCGACCCCUAAGGCGAGGCCGAAAGGCGUAGUCGAUGGGAAACAGGUUAAUAUUCCUGUACUUGGUGUUACUGCGAAGGGGGGACGGAGAAGGCUAUGUUGGCCGGGCGACGGUUGUCCCGGUUUAAGCGUGUAGGCUGGUUUUCCAGGCAAAUCCGGAAAAUCAAGGCUGAGGCGUGAUGACGAGGCACUACGGUGCUGAAGCAACAAAUGCCCUGCUUCCAGGAAAAGCCUCUAAGCAUCAGGUAACAUCAAAUCGUACCCCAAACCGACACAGGUGGUCAGGUAGAGAAUACCAAGGCGCUUGAGAGAACUCGGGUGAAGGAACUAGGCAAAAUGGUGCCGUAACUUCGGGAGAAGGCACGCUGAUACGUAGGUGAAGUCCCUUGCGGAUGGAGCUGAAAUCAGUCGAAGAUACCAGCUGGCUGCAACUGUUUAUUAAAAACACAGCACUGUGCAAACACGAAAGUGGACGUAUACGGUGUGACGCCUGCCCGGUGCCGGAAGGUUAAUUGAUGGGGUUAGCGGUAACGCGAAGCUCUUGAUCGAAGCCCCGGUAAACGGCGGCCGUAACUAUAACGGUCCUAAGGUAGCGAAAUUCCUUGUCGGGUAAGUUCCGACCUGCACGAAUGGCGUAAUGAUGGCCAGGCUGUCUCCACCCGAGACUCAGUGAAAUUGAACUCGCUGUGAAGAUGCAGUGUACCCGCGGCAAGACGGAAAGACCCCGUGAACCUUUACUAUAGCUUGACACUGAACAUUGAGCCUUGAUGUGUAGGAUAGGUGGGAGGCUUUGAAGUGUGGACGCCAGUCUGCAUGGAGCCGACCUUGAAAUACCACCCUUUAAUGUUUGAUGUUCUAACGUUGGCCCCUAAUCGGGGUUGCGGACAGUGUCUGGUGGGUAGUUUGACUGGGGCGGUCUCCUCCUAAAGAGUAACGGAGGAGCACGAAGGUUGGCUAAUCCUGGUCGGACAUCAGGAGGUUAGUGCAAUGGCAUAAGCCAGCUUGACUGCGAGCGUGACGGCGCGAGCAGGUGCGAAAGCAGGUCAUAGUGAUCCGGUGGUUCUGAAUGGAAGGGCCAUCGCUCAACGGAUAAAAGGUACUCCGGGGAUAACAGGCUGAUACCGCCCAAGAGUUCAUAUCGACGGCGGUGUUUGGCACCUCGAUGUCGGCUCAUCACAUCCUGGGGCUGAAGUAGGUCCCAAGGGUAUGGCUGUUCGCCAUUUAAAGUGGUACGCGAGCUGGGUUUAGAACGUCGUGAGACAGUUCGGUCCCUAUCUGCCGUGGGCGCUGGAGAACUGAGGGGGGCUGCUCCUAGUACGAGAGGACCGGAGUGGACGCAUCACUGGUGUUCGGGUUGUCAUGCCAAUGGCACUGCCCGGUAGCUAAAUGCGGAAGAGAUAAGUGCUGAAAGCAUCUAAGCACGAAACUUGCCCCGAGAUGAGUUCUCCCUGACUCCUUGAGAGUCCUGAAGGAACGUUGAAGACGACGACGUUGAUAGGCCGGGUGUGUAAGCGCAGCGAUGCGUUGAGCUAACCGGUACUAAUGAACCGUGAGGCUUAACC
Molecule: ribosomal RNA, 2894 nt
Filed under: Escherichia coli
Lineage: Bacteria; Pseudomonadati; Pseudomonadota; Gammaproteobacteria; Enterobacterales; Enterobacteriaceae
Description: bacterial LSU rRNA
Rfam family: Bacterial large subunit ribosomal RNA
Source: RNAcentral